GUCUAUGGCCAUGCCACCCUGAACAAGCCCGAUCCCGUCUGAUCUCGGAAGCUAAGCAGGGUCGGGCCUGGUUAGUACUUGGAUGGGAGACCACCUAGGAAAACCAGGUGCUGUAGGCA
This 119-nucleotide ribosomal RNA is filed under the name Pteropus alecto (black flying fox). Lineage: Eukaryota; Metazoa; Chordata; Mammalia; Chiroptera; Pteropodidae. The record is from RNAcentral.